RNAcentral lists this ribosomal RNA (468 nucleotides) under uncultured bacterium. RNAcentral's name for it is "partial 16S ribosomal RNA". It matches the Rfam family "Bacterial small subunit ribosomal RNA", at positions 28 to 507 of the family's 1533-position model. The record is from RNAcentral.
GACGAACGCUGGCGGCGUGCUUAACACAUGCAAGUCGAACGGAAAGGCCCUGCUUUUGUGGGGUGCUCGAGUGGCGAACGGGUGAGUAACACGUGAGUAACCUGCCCUUGACUUUGGGAUAACUUCAGGAAACUGGGGCUAAUACCGGAUAGGAGCUCCUGCUGCAUGGUGGGGGUUGGAAAGUUUCGGCGGUUGGGGAUGGACUCGCGGCUUAUCAGCUUGUUGGUGGGGUAGUGGCUUACCAAGGCUUUGACGGGUAGCCGGCCUGAGAGGGUGACCGGCCACAUUGGGACUGAGGUACGGCCCUGACUCCUACGGGAGGCAGCAGUGGGGAAUAUUGCACAAUGGGCGGAAGCCUGAUGCAGCAACGCCGCGUGCGGGAUGACGGCCUUCGGGUUGUAAACCGCUUUCGCCUGUGACGAAGCGUGAGUGACGGUAAUGGGUAAAGAAGCACCGGCUAACUACGUG